UGCGUAGGUGGCAGAUCAAGUCUGGAGUAAAAGGUAUGGGCUCAACCCGUACUGGCUCUGGAAACUGAUCAGCUAGAGAACAGAAGAGGACGGCGGAACUCCAUGUGUAGCGGUAAAAUAGCGUAGAUAUAUGGAAGAACACCGGUGGCGAAGGCGACCGUCUGGUCUGGAUUCUGACACUGAAGCACGAAAGCGUGGGGGAGCAAAUA
RNAcentral lists this ribosomal RNA (209 nucleotides) under uncultured bacterium. RNAcentral's name for it is "partial 16S ribosomal RNA". It matches the Rfam family "Bacterial small subunit ribosomal RNA", at positions 568 to 774 of the family's 1533-position model. The record is from RNAcentral.